GACGAACGCUGGCGGCGCGCUUAACACAUGCAAGUCGAACGGAAAGGCCUGCUUUCCCUUGUGGAUUGCGGGUACUCGAGUGGCGAACGGGUGAGUAACACGUGAGUGAUCUGCCCCCAACUUGGGUAUAAGCCUGGGAAACUGGGUCUAAUUCCCGAUAGGACUGCAGGGUGGUGCCUGUGGUGGAAAACGAUUUUCUAGUGGUUGGGGAUGAGCUCGCGGCCUAUCAGCUUGUUGGUGGGGUAAUGGCCUACCAAGGCGGAGACGGGUAGCCGGCCUGGGAGGGUGGACGGCCACAUUGGGACUGGGAUACGGCCCAGACUCCUACGGGAGGCAGCAGUGGGGAAUAUUGCACAAUGGGCGGAAGCCUGAUGCAGCGACGCCGCGUGGGGGAUGACGGCCUUCGGGUUGUAAACUCCUUUCGACCGCGAGGAAGCCACCUGGUUGGAAGGGUGGUGACGGUAGUGGUAGAAGAAGCACCGGCUAACUACGUG
Molecule: ribosomal RNA, 494 nt
Filed under: uncultured bacterium
Lineage: Bacteria
Description: partial 16S ribosomal RNA
Rfam family: Bacterial small subunit ribosomal RNA
Source: RNAcentral